GUAGAGCACUGAAUUUCCGCGGGGGCGUCAAAGCUUACCAAAGAAUAUCAAACUCCGAAUGCCAUGUAGAUGAUGAACGGGAGUCAGACUGCACGAGAUAAGUUGGGCAGUCAAAAGGGAAAGAGCCCAGACCGCCAGCCAAGGUCCCAAAGUGUGUGUUAAGUGGAAAAGGAUGUGGGAUCUCCAAGACAACUAGGAUGUUGGCUCAGAAGCAGCCACACAUUCAAAGAGUGCGUAACAGCUCACUAGUCGAGAGGUCCUGCGCCGAAAAUGUCCGGGGCUGAAACACAACACCGAAGCUGCGGAAUUGCGAAUGCAAUUGGUAGAGGAGCAUUCUUAAUACCGACGAAGCUGUACCGGAAGGAGCAGUGGAGGGAUAAGAAGAGAGAAUGCCGGAAUGAGUAGCGAGAGAGAGGUGGGAAUCCUCUCGGCCGAAUAUCCAAGGUUUCCAGAGUAAAGCUGAUCUGCUCUGGGUAAGUCGGGGCCUAAGGCGAGGUCAAAAGACGUAGCCGAUGGACAACAGGUUUAGAUUCCUGUACCGCAUAUAAACAGAACUGUGGGGACGCAUGGGGAGAGCAUGGGCCGGGAAUGGAAAUACCGGUGCAAGCGAAGGAGGUGUGCAGCCGGCAAAUCCGCUGCAUGAGCCGAAAGCGUGACGCGGAGCGAAAUGAAAGUAGCGAAGCAUGUGAGCCCUGUGCCGAGAAAAGCCGCUAUUGCUUUAUAUGUGCCCGUACCGUAAACCGACACAGGUGGAUGAGGAGAGAAUCCUAAGGCCGGCGGAAGAAGUAUUGUUAAGGAACUCGGCAAAAUGACCCCGUAACUUCGGGAGAAGGGGUGCCCACGGGAGUGGGCCGCAGAGAAUAGGCUCAAGCAACUGUUUAGCAAAAACACAGGUCUAUGCGAAACCGAAAGGUGAAGUAUAUGGGCUGACGCCUGCCCGGUGCUGGAAGGUUAAGAGGAGAGGUUAGCGCAAGCGAAGCUUUGAAUUUAAGCCCCAGUAAACGGCGGCCGUAACUAUAACGGUCCUAAGGUAGCGAAAUUCCUUGUCGGGUAAGUUCCGACCCGCACGAAAGGCGUAAUGAUUUGAGCACUGUCUCGACAAUGCAUCCGGUGAAAUUGAAGUACCAGUGAAGAUGCUGGUUACCCGCGCCAGGACGGAAAGACCCCAUGGAGCUUUACUCCAGUUUGGUACUGGGAUUCGGUACUGCACGUACAGGAUAGGUGGGAGACUUUGAAACUUGAACGCCAGUUUGAGUGGAGUCGCUGUUGGGAUACCACCCCUGCAGUAUUGGAUUUCUAACCAGUCACCGUGACCCGGUGAUGGGACAAUGCCAGGCGGGGAGUUUGACUGGGGCGGUCGCCUCCGAAAGGGUAUCGGAGGCGCUCAAAGGUUCCCUCAGAAUGGUCGGAAACCAUUUGAAGAGUGCAAAGGCAGAAGGGAGCUUGACUGCGACACCGACGGGUGGAGCAGGUAGGAAACUAGGACUUAGUGAUCCGGUGGCAUAAAGUGGGAUUGCCAUCGCUCAACGGAUAAAAGCUACCCUGGGGAUAACAGGCUUAUCACUCCCAAGAGUUCACAUCGACGGAGUGGUUUGGCACCUCGAUGUCGGCUCAUCGCAUCCUGGGGCUGUAGCAGGUCCCAAGGGUUGGGCUGUUCGCCCAUUAAAGCGGUACGCGAGCUGGGUUCAGAACGUCGUGAGACAGUUCGGUCCCUAUCCGGCGCGGGCGGAGGAUAUUUGAGAGGAGCUGUCCUUAGUACGAGAGGACCGGGAUGGACGGACCACUGGUGUAUCUGCUGUCGACCAACGGCAUGGCAGAGUAGCCAAGUCCGGAAGGGAUAAACGCUGAAGGCAUCUAAGCGUGAAGCCCCCCUCAAGAUGAGAUAUCCCUCACAUAAGUGAGUAAGAUCCCUUGAAGACUACAAGGUAGAUAGGGCAGAGGUGGAAGUGUGGCAACACAUGGAGCUGACUGUUACUAAUCGAUCGAGGGCUUGACCAA
This 1998-nucleotide ribosomal RNA is filed under the name human gut metagenome. RNAcentral's name for it is "bacterial LSU rRNA". It matches the Rfam family "Bacterial large subunit ribosomal RNA", at positions 902 to 2925 of the family's 2925-position model. The record is from RNAcentral.